Molecule: ribosomal RNA, 112 nt
Filed under: Lactifluus oedematopus
Lineage: Eukaryota; Fungi; Basidiomycota; Agaricomycetes; Russulales; Russulaceae
Description: 5.8S ribosomal RNA
Rfam family: 5.8S ribosomal RNA
About the family: 5.8S ribosomal RNA (5.8S rRNA) is a component of the large subunit of the eukaryotic ribosome. It is transcribed by RNA polymerase I as part of the 45S precursor that also contains 18S and 28S rRNA. Functionally, it is thought that 5.8S rRNA may be involved in ribosome translocation.
Source: RNAcentral
AUGAAGGACGCAGCGAAAUGCGAUACGUAAUGUGAAUUGCAGAAUUCAGUGAAUCAUCGAAUCUUUGAACGCACCUUGCGCCCCUUGGUAUUCCGAAGGGCACACCCGUUUG